AGUCCAGCUGCAUGCAUAGACAGAUUACAAAAUGAAUCCAGACCGAUUGUAACAAAAUUUCAUGAACAAGAGAUAAGUUUAUGCACCCAUCUUUAAAACUACACAAAUCAGCAACACUAAAUAGCAAAAAAAAACAAGUGUCAUCCUCUAAGAUAGUCCACAUUGGAUUUGAAGUUUCAUGUCUAGACAAAAUUUUAACCUCAUUUAGGCAAUGUUUUCAAAUUUGAUAAUGGAGGGAAAAAAUGAUGAACAAAUGAUCAAAGGGCCAGCAAACUGGAUCGAAAAUGCAAGGCCCGGUCCAAAAAGCCCACAUGGAUGGCAAGCAAACAAAAUCUGGUCAGAAGCAAAAGGGUCUUGUCAUUUUCACAUGCUCUGCCCUCAAUUCAACUUUAUCAAGAAACAACUAUCACGCUGCUGCAAUUCAAAUUUCAAAUUCAAAUCACACACUCUCUCUCUCCCUCUUCUUUCACGUUCUUUAACAUUCUUUAACAUUGCUUUCACCUUCAUUCAACAUUCAUUUCUUCGUCCGUUUCUCUGCUUCAUCUCCCAGAAUCUAGAUUCACUUCCAUCGCAAUCUUCAGGUUCUUAACACACCAAUCCAACGAAAGCUACUACUUAAAGGUGGUGUAGCAGAUUGUGCAUAUUGGAAGGAUAAUUCUCUGUGCCAUAAUUUAGAUGUAAGUUAAACCAAGUUUUGAUGGUUUUCCUAAAGGCCAAAAGAUUUGUAGACUAUUUGGCUACUUUGGUCCUCUAAAUGAAGUUUUCGUGCCUCAUGAUUAUUAUAUUAGGUUAUUGGUAAAACAUUGGUCCUUGAUGAGAUAAUCAAUUAUACUCAAUCAUAUCACCACCAAGUAGAGCAAAGCUUUUGAUAAAUGGUUGCAUAAAAGGGUUGAAAGUGAUAUAAUGCUUCCAAAAAGGUUGUUGGAGAGUCUUUCACAUGAUGAUUUUUUGAAGUUUCUGGAGCAAGUCCAUGUGCAUCUACAUUAUUGUCAGAGAAGUCACAAAACCUUAUGAAGAUACUUUUGUAUGGAUUUGAUGUAUAAGCAUGGAGAAAGGUUUCUUCAGCUUCUUCAAAUAGAAAGGUUUCAACUUGCUUCUCAAUCCCUUCCUUAUUUCAUCAUUUGAUUUCAUAUUCUGAUUUAUUUAUUUUUUUGGAAUGUUAUUGUUUGUUCAUUAGGUUCACAAAUUAGGGUUUCAUUGGGUAAGUUUUAUGAACUUUAAUUGAUUGUAUUUGAGUAGUAUUUAGCUGAACUUUAAUUUGAGUAUGUGAUAGAGUAUAGUGCUAAUUAAAUUUGAGUAAGUUUCUUGGAGUAUGACAAAGAAGAAUGUGUCUCCGAAUGGCAAAAAUACAGAGCUUGUCUUUCUUAACAUUUGGAAGAUAGAAAAAUGAUUCAUAUAUUGGAAGGUGAAAAUGUUGUUCAAGAAGAUAGUGCUGUUGCUUCUCAGUAGCAUAUCACAUGUUUGCUGUAAUGACAGUGAUCAAUUUAGUAGCUUUCACUGCUCACUAGCAAUUUAUUAUCGUUCCUUCAAAUUUUCCAUAAUUUGUAACAUUGAGUUGUUUAAAUUAUAGAAUCAUAGAAACUUAGGGUCAACCUUGAUAUAGACUAUAGAGUAUUUUACUUUGACAUGAAUAGUUUUAAGAAUGGAACUAAGGUUAUGGACAGAGUUUAAUGUCCAUGCCUAAUUUUUAAUCAAGAUUGAGUCACUUACUCAUUGACAACCAAAAAAAAUAAGAUUUUCAAUUUUUUUUAUUGUAAAAGUGAGCACCGACAAAGUGUUUGACCAAAUGUCUCAAUAUGCAAAACUAUUGAAAAUAUUCCCUACUUAGAAUUUCUGUUGAAAAUAUUGUUGGUUAGUUGUCAUAUUUAUUAGGAUUUGUUUCUAUCUUUUAGUCAAUAAUCCCUACUUCUUAGGAGUUGUUAGUGGGAUUUAGAUGGUUUUCUCGGCACACCACUUUUUCAGAAUUCCAGGUUUAGUUAGAUUUUAUAAUAAUGGUUAAUUUUUUUUUUUCAAUCUUUUUUUUCCAGUGUGAUGUAUAUUGUAUAUUCUUAUCAUUAUACUGAUUUAUGUAUGUUCUUAUCAUAAUAUUUUUCAUUACAUGGUUAAUUUUGUGUUUAUUUGUGAAAUAAAGAUUUACAGUAUAUGUUUAUUUGUGUUAAUUUUGAUAUACUAGAUGUAACUAUCGAUUCAUUAGCUAUGGUUGUUAUAUGUUUCUGAGAAGAAUUUGAUUUUCAGAGUGUUGUUGAAUUGAUUCUGGGGCAUGAAUAAUGAAUUAUUGAUAAAAUCACUAGGAAUCUUUAGUCAAAUGGUUCUUGAGGUGUGACAGAGUUUUUCUAGGCAAGAUGCGGUUAAUUAAUCAGACUCAAUAGCCACAGAGGAAGCGACAAGGGAUAAUAGUAGUGAUUUUCGUGAGUUUCAAAGAUCUAUUGGUUGAAUUGUUAAGAUCGAGACGUGGAAAAAGAAGGCUGGGGUCGCCUCUGUGGAAGCUCGAACUUGAAGCUUGAACUUCGACUAACUCGUGAGUUGAGGUUUAUGUAAAGUUAAGGUGAACGAUCAUAUCAACUCAAUUUGAGAAGUUGAUAUAAUAUUGAUUUGGUUAUGCAUCUCUAAAGCUAUUUGGUUAUGCAGAAAUACUAAAUUUGUUGGUUCGUCAGAGGUAUAUUUUAUUCUAUAAUACCACAACUACAUCAGAGGUAUAAUCAAUCACUCCAUUUUUUUUUUCAUCAUGAAAUGAUCAUCACUUCUUUCAUUUUGUUCUUUGUUUUCAUAUAUAACUUAAAAUUAAAGGUACUAUUCGAUACAACUACAUCUAAUGUAGCACAAAGUACAAACACUUCAUUGUGGAUAGUGUUUUUGUGAUGCCUCAGUCACCGUAUAAGUAGACCACUUAUAGUUUGAUACUUUUAAUUACUUUUAGUUUGAUUUAGAUAGAAAGGAUUAUUGUCAUUAUUUGAAUUCCUUACUUUAGUGAGAGUUGGUGAGGUACAUAGCUUUGAUUGCAUUUUUCCUUUCUUCCAGAUUCUCCUAUAGAUCGUUUGUCGCUGACAGAGUAGACCACCGAUUUUUGUUUUUUUGUUUCAGUUUCUUUGGCUUUAUUUUUUUGGUCUUAUAUAUCAUUCAAUUGUGGUCUUAUUUUUUUAUGAUUUUCUAUACUAUCAUUUGUAUGCAAUUAGUGAAAGAAUUAGUGAAAAUAGAUAAUUUGUUAGCUUUUACAUCACCAACUUUAAGAAAUUUUAUAUAAAUGGUGUCUUCUUCAUCAUAAUUUUUUAAAUGAUUUAUUUAAAUUUUUGCAAAAACUGUAUGAAAUCAACUAUAAUACUCUAUUUGCACU
This is a long non-coding RNA of Trifolium pratense (red clover), 3331 nucleotides long. RefSeq lists it as uncharacterized. The transcript has 12 exons. The record is from RefSeq and is a predicted model, not a curated record. NCBI's taxonomy places the organism in Eukaryota, Viridiplantae, Streptophyta, Magnoliopsida, Fabales, Fabaceae.